RNAcentral lists this ribosomal RNA (455 nucleotides) under uncultured bacterium. RNAcentral's name for it is "SSU rRNA". It matches the Rfam family "Bacterial small subunit ribosomal RNA", at positions 26 to 518 of the family's 1533-position model. The record is from RNAcentral.
AGGAUGAACGCUGGCGGCGUGCCUAAUACAUGCAAGUCGAGCGGUAAGGCCCCUUCGGGGGUACACGAGCGGCGGACGGCUGAGUAACACGUAGGAACGUACCCCAAACUGAGGGAUAAGCACCAGAAAUGGUGUCUAAUACCGCAUGUGAUCUUCGGAUUAAAGCUUCGGCGGUUUGGGAACGGCCUGCGCAUGAUUAGCUUGUUGGUGAGGUAAAAGCUCACCAAGGCGACGAUCAUUAGCUGGUCUGAGAUGAUGAUCAGCCAGACUGGGACUGAGAACGGCCCAGACUCCUACGGGAGGCAGCAGUAGGGAAUUUUCCACAAUGGGCGAAAGCCUGAUGGAGCAACGCCGCGUGCAGGACGAAGGCUUUCGGGUCGUAAACUGCUUUUAUAUGUGACGAUUAUGACGGUAGCAUAUGAAUAAGGAUCGGCUAACUCCGUGCCAGCAGCCGC